This 468-nucleotide ribosomal RNA is filed under the name uncultured bacterium. RNAcentral's name for it is "partial 16S ribosomal RNA". It matches the Rfam family "Bacterial small subunit ribosomal RNA", at positions 28 to 507 of the family's 1533-position model. The record is from RNAcentral.
GACGAACGCUGGCGGCGUGCUUAACACAUGCAAGUCGAACGGAAAGGCCCUGCUUUUGUGGGGUGCUCGAGUGGCGAACGGGUGAGUAACACGUGAGUAACCUGCCCUUGCCUUUGGGAUAACUUCAUGCAACUGGGGCUAAUACCGGCUAGGAUCUCCUGCUGCUUGGUGGGGGUUGGUUAGUUUCGGCGGUUGGGGAUGGACUCGCGGCUUAUCAGCUUGGUGGUGGGGUAGUGUCUUACCAAGGCUUUGACGGGUAGCCGGCCUGGGCGGGUGACCGGCCACACUGGGACUGAGAUACGGCCCAGACUCCUACGGGAGGCAGCAGUGGGGAAUAUAGCACAAUGGGCGGAAGCCUGAUGCAGCAACGCCGCGUGCGGGAUGACGGCCUUCGGGUUGUAAACCGCUUUCGCCUGUGACGAAGCGUGAGUGACGGUAAUGGGUAAAGAAGCACCGGCUAACUACGUG